RNAcentral lists this ribosomal RNA (465 nucleotides) under Vreelandella stevensii. Its description in RNAcentral is "partial 16S ribosomal RNA". It matches the Rfam family "Bacterial small subunit ribosomal RNA", at positions 338 to 795 of the family's 1533-position model. Lineage: Bacteria; Pseudomonadati; Pseudomonadota; Gammaproteobacteria; Oceanospirillales; Halomonadaceae. The record is from RNAcentral.
CCUACGGGCGGCAGCAGUGGGGAAUAUUGGACAAUGGGGGGAACCCUGAUCCAGCCAUGUCGCGUGUGUGAAGAAGGCCCUCGGGUUGUAAAGCACUUUCAGUGAGGAAGAACGCCUGGUGGUUAAUACCCAUCAGGAAAGACAUCACUCACAGAAGAAGCACCGGCUAACUCCGUGCCAGCAGCCGCGGUAAUACGGAGGGUGCGAGCGUUAAUCGGAAUUACUGGGCGUAAAGCGCGCGUAGGUGGCUUGAUAAGCCGGUUGUGAAAGCCCCGGGCUCAACCUGGGAACGGCAUCCGGAACUGUCAAGCUAGAGUGCAGGAGAGGAGGGUAGAAUUCCCGGUGUAGCGGUGAAAUGCGUAGAGAUCGGGAGGAAUACCAGUGGCGAAGGCGGCCUUCUGGACUGACACUGACACUGAGGUGCGAAAGCGUGGGUAGCAAACAGGAUUAGAUACCCCGGUAGUC